GACGAACGCUGGCGGCGUGCUUAACACAUGCAAGUCGAACGGUGAACCUGCUUCGGUGGGGGUUCAGUGGCGAACGGGUGAGUAACACGUGGGCAACCUGCCCUCAGCUCUGGGAUAACUCUAAGAAAUUGGGGCUAAUACUGGUUAUGACCGCUGUCCGCAUGGUCUGGGGGCGGUAAGGUUUAUCGGCUGGGGAUGGGCCUGCGGCCAAUCAGCUAGUUGGUUGGGUAGUGGCCUACCAAAGGGCCGACGGGUAGCCGGCCUGAGAGGGGGACCGGCCACACGGGGACUGAGAGACGGACCAGACUGCAACGGGAGGCAGUAGUCGGGAGCAUGGCGGAGUGGGCGCGAGCCUGACACAGCGGCGCCGCGUGGGGGAUGACGUCCUUCGGGUGGUAAACCACUUUCAGCAGGGACGAAGCGAAAGUGACGGUACCUGCAGAAGAAGCACCGGCUAACUACGUG
This 465-nucleotide ribosomal RNA is filed under the name uncultured bacterium. Its description in RNAcentral is "partial 16S ribosomal RNA". It matches the Rfam family "Bacterial small subunit ribosomal RNA", at positions 28 to 507 of the family's 1533-position model. The record is from RNAcentral.